Molecule: transfer RNA, 66 nt
Filed under: Ligilactobacillus ubinensis
Lineage: Bacteria; Bacillati; Bacillota; Bacilli; Lactobacillales; Lactobacillaceae
Description: Ligilactobacillus sp. WILCCON 0076 tRNA-OTHER
Rfam family: tRNA
About the family: Transfer RNA (tRNA) molecules are approximately 80 nucleotides in length. Their secondary structure includes four short double-helical elements and three loops (D, anti-codon, and T loops).
Source: RNAcentral
UGGAAUGUAGUUUAAUGGUAAAACAACUUUUUGUUGAUAUAGGUUCGAUUCCUGUCAUUUCAACCA